RNAcentral lists this ribosomal RNA (262 nucleotides) under uncultured prokaryote. RNAcentral's name for it is "partial 16S ribosomal RNA". It matches the Rfam family "Bacterial small subunit ribosomal RNA", at positions 524 to 784 of the family's 1533-position model. The record is from RNAcentral.
UACGUAGGGUGCGAGCGUUGUCCGGAAUUACUGGGCGUAAAGAGCUCGUAGGUGGUUUGUCACGUCGUCUGUGAAAUUCCGGGGCUUAACCUCGGGCGUGCAGGCGAUACGGGCAAUACUUGAGUGCUGUAGGGGAGACUGGAAUUCCCGGUGUAGCGGUGAAAUGCGCAGAUAUCAGGAGGAACACCAAUGGCGAAGGCAGGUCUCUGGGCAGUUACUGACGCUGAGGAGCGAAAGCAUGGGUAGCGAACAGGAUUAGAUA